This 251-nucleotide ribosomal RNA is filed under the name uncultured bacterium. RNAcentral's name for it is "partial 16S ribosomal RNA". It matches the Rfam family "Bacterial small subunit ribosomal RNA", at positions 525 to 776 of the family's 1533-position model. The record is from RNAcentral.
ACGUAGGGGGCAAGCGUUGUCCGGAAUUAUUGGGCGUAAAGCGCGCGCAGGCGGUCAUUUAAGUCUGGUGUUUAAUCCCGGGGCUCAACCCCGGAUCGCACUGGAAACUGGGUGACUUGAGUGCAGAAGAGGAGAGUGGAAUUCCACGUGUAGCGGUGAAAUGCGUAGAUAUGUGGAGGAACACCAGUGGCGAAGGCGACUCUCUGGGCUGUAACUGACGCUGAGGCGCGAAAGCGUGGGGAGCAAACAGG